GACGUAGGGGGCCAGCGUUGCUCGGAAUUACUGGGCGUAAAGGGUCCGUAGGCGGUGCGGUAAGUCGGGAGUGAAAUCUCUGGGCUUAACUCAGAGGCUGCUUCCGAAACUACCGUGCUAGAGUGCGAGAGAGGCAAGUGGAAUUGCGGGUGUAGCGGUGAAAUGCGGUAGAUAUCCGCAGGAACAUCCGAGGCGAAAGCGGCUUGCUGGAUCGCAACUGACGCUGAGGGACGAAAGCUAGGGGAGCAAACAGG
RNAcentral lists this ribosomal RNA (254 nucleotides) under uncultured bacterium. RNAcentral describes it as "partial 16S ribosomal RNA". It matches the Rfam family "Bacterial small subunit ribosomal RNA", at positions 524 to 776 of the family's 1533-position model. The record is from RNAcentral.